UACGGGGGGAGCAAGCGUUGUUCGGAUUUACUGGGCGUAAAGGGCGCGUAGGCGGUCGUGACAAGUCACUUGUGAAAUCUCCGGGCUUAACUCGGAACGGUCAAGUGAUACUGUCGGACUAGAGUACAGAAGGGGCAACUGGAAUUCUCGGUGUAGCGGUGAAAUGCGUUGAUAUCAGAAGGAACGCCGGUGGCGAAAGCGGCGCACUGGACCUCUUCUGACGCUGAGGCGCGAAAGCUAGGGGAGCAAACGGG
This 254-nucleotide ribosomal RNA is filed under the name uncultured bacterium. RNAcentral's name for it is "partial 16S ribosomal RNA". It matches the Rfam family "Bacterial small subunit ribosomal RNA", at positions 524 to 776 of the family's 1533-position model. The record is from RNAcentral.